This 870-nucleotide long non-coding RNA is filed under the name Octopus sinensis (East Asian common octopus). RNAcentral describes it as "uncharacterized LOC118766640". The record is from RNAcentral. Lineage: Eukaryota; Metazoa; Mollusca; Cephalopoda; Octopoda; Octopodidae.
GCGCACCGGAUGCCGAGUCCGACGCCAACGCUACAGCCCCGUACCGGUCCGCCGCUUCGCGUGAAGACGUGUUCCGGCGCCCGGCGGCGCGACGCCGAGCGAACGGCGACGCGGCCGCGCGGGAGCGAGGCGACACACACGGCCCGACCGACCCGGUCCUCGGAGCCAAUCCUUCUUCCGAAGGUACGGAUCCAUUUUGCCGACUUCCCUUACCUACAUUGGCGCUAUCGACGAGAGGCUGUACACCUUGGAGACCUGCUGCGGAUGGUGGGUACGGACCGACUCGAGAGCUGCGAUUCGUUACGGACCCGGAUUUUCCAGGGCCGCCGAGAGCGCACCGGACGCCGCCCGAGACGCGGCGCUCUACAGGUACCAUAUCCGUAUCUCCGGACGAGCCGAUUCCACGGACGCGGUCCUUUACGAAGAAGAGAGAACUCUUCCCGGGGCUCCCGGCAACGUCUCCGGGCUCGCUUGCGUUGCCGCUGCUUCGCCCGGCCGCCGGCUUCGACGACGGACGCGCUGCUAGGAAGAGCACGCCGCGUUCCCGCCGACGGACGGGCACUCUCCGAGUUCGGGUUCGGGAAUAUUAACCCGAUUCCCUUUCGAUGCGAGGCCGGCCGCUUCUUUUCUUCUUUCUAAACGACGGAUCCGGCGCCUUUCGUGGAAGCUUUCGCCCGCUUCUUAGGACCGACUGACCCGUGCUCGACCGCCGUUGGCACGGAACCCUUCUCCACUUCGGUCUUCGAAGGUCUCGUUCGAAUAUUUGCUACUACCACCGAGAUCUGCACCCGCGGUCGGCUUCACCCGGGCUCGCGCCCGCGGCUUCCAUGCACGCCGCGGCGCCCUCCUACUCGACCGGGCAUCGGAAAG